Molecule: small nuclear RNA, 173 nt
Organism: Podarcis muralis (Common wall lizard)
Lineage: Eukaryota; Metazoa; Chordata; Lepidosauria; Squamata; Lacertidae
Gene: U1
Rfam family: U1 spliceosomal RNA
About the family: U1 is a small nuclear RNA (snRNA) component of the spliceosome (involved in pre-mRNA splicing).
Source: Ensembl
AUGCUUACCUGGCAGAGGAGACACUAUGAUCAUGAAGGCGGUUUCACCAGGGUGAGACUCACCCAUUGCACUCUGAGUGUGCUGAACCCCACGAUUUCCCCAAGUGCAGGAAAAUCAACUGCAUAAUUUGUGGUAGGGAAUGGUCUACUAAUGUUUUGUUUUAAAUUCAUUUU